CCCAGGGUUCUCAGAAUUCCAAACCUGUUCUCCACCAGGUAUUUACCCAAGCUGUGCUCCUUGCGGGCCCAUGUGCCCGAAUUCCACAUUUUUCACUGGCUUUCCUGGCUCCUGCAGGCCAUGGGACCUCAAAGUCUUGCCCCCAAUUCAGGAGAAUGGGCAGGGCCAGAUUAGAUUCAGGUAUUCAAGGUCCCCUACAGUCUGCGAACACCUUGAGAGCAGGUUCCCCAAAGAACAGAGACUGCACUGCCAGGCCUUCCGAGAGACACUUGUCGCCGGCAGAGAAGCGGGUGUGUCAACAACUACCAAGGCGGACCGCUGGCACUUAGGACCGGAGGAGGACGGAGGACGACGGGUUGGGGGAGCUUGCGCAUAUCUACAGACAUAGCAGCGUCAUGCUGAGAUGGGGAGGGCUCUUUCCCCAAACCCGAAAUGGUCUGGCUCUCUCGUCUGAUCACGAAGAGUCCCCUUCUGGAAGGACAGGGGAAGCCAGGAAACGGACUCGGUGCAGUGGCCAAGAGCUACGGAAAAACUUUGCUGCGCACAGUCCCCUUGGGUACCGGCCGAGCCAAGGGCAGGGCGCUGGGGGCAACACCAGUUCGGCGGGGCAGGAGGUGGGUCUGGGCACUCAAGGCCCCUCCCCGGCCCAGUAGGUCCCCCUGAAACACUUUUUGAAAUUGCACUGCAGACAGCGCAGCCACUCUUCCCUUGCGCCGGGUGCUAGUCUUGUUCACGCUCACACCUGGACGCCGGCGCCGGGCACGUGAGAGGGCUCCGAGAGGGCAGCAGGGACAGCGGUUUCACUUCCGUGGCCGAGCCAGCCAAGGCAAGUAACCCGACCUCCCAGGCCAGCAUCAAGAGGACCGACACCGCGGGGCGAGAGCUGGCGCAAUUCUACUCUUGCCAACUUCUGACCCCAGGGCCCCGGGCGGGCCAUGUAGACCCUCCCGGAGCCCCAGGAGCCCAAGCCCGAGGCCACCGCUUACCUGACUCCCGGGAGCAGGCGGGGUGUGCAUCCCCGACCAGUUGCGGAUCGGUCCUCUGCAGAGGGACAAGAAGCUCAGCGCGGGUCAGUAGGAUGAGUAGGGACGCGGCGGGCAACCCGAGAGCUCAAGGAACAAUCCCCAAGCCUUUGCGCCGCCGCUCGCACCGUUCGGCACCAGUUGAAGGCGCCGGCCCCGCCCCCGCCCGCGCUCGUUGCCGGGAGACCCGCGUGGGCCGAAGGGGCUCUUUGUAUCAAAGCGGCCGUGACAUCACGAGGUGCCCGGGCUCGGGGACUAGGAGGGGCGGGGCCUCACGCCGGGGGCGGGGCCGGAGGAGGAGGGGGAAGCGCGGCCUGGGAACCCGAGCCGUGGGGCGGGGCCCAGGUAGCACCGCCCACGCAAGGUAGGGGCAGGUGGCUGAGUCGGCAUCGACCAAUAGCUGCGUGGCCGCGGGGCGGGCCCAGGCGACCCUGCGCCUUGGAGGGGUGGAGCUCGCCUAGGCCCGCCCGAGCCCGAGACGCAAAGUUACUAAGGCCCGGAGGUCUGCUAGAUCACGCUCCAGCCGGUUCCAUGCCACUCUUAUUGUUUGUUGUCACCGCUCUGCAAGAUUCCGGCCAGCAACCCCUGGCUUAUGUUCCUGGAUCCAACUAACACCUGCCAAGCCUCUCCCAACACAUCACCACCGUCUUCACCACCAGCCGGUCUGAUGGCUCAUAAAUAGAUUUUUUCCUGAAUCCCACGCACAACUUUUCUAAUCUUUCGUGUAAAGCGAAAGCUAUCGUAUAGUACAAAAGAAACAAGUGGCAAAAAGACCCAACAAAAAGAGGACUCCUGUGGAAUCCUAGUAAAUAUAAUUUGCAUCGGAAAUGUGGCCCUUCAUAACUCUUCGUGCUCCAGAUUAAAAUAAGGCGAAAAUGAUGUGACGAAUGCAAAGCAGCAAAUACUGCAAAUGCGGUUCCCUUUGACUUCACGUUGUAUUAUGUAACUUGUGGGAGCAGAUUAUCUUCCCGACUGGCUGGCUGCAAGCCACCUUUGCCUUCCCUGUGUGCUCACUGCCCAAUAAGGUGGCAUGGGCACUUUGGUAUGGGCAGGGCCAGUUGGGCAGCUUUAGGCCAGCGCGGCACCCAUGCGCAUCUUUUCUGCUUCCUUCUUUCUGGCUCUUUGCUCUCAACUACCCUCUCCCCAGUGUCUCUCCUGCAAAUAAAUUCCCAGCUGCCCCUCCA
Molecule: long non-coding RNA, 2206 nt
Organism: Marmota monax (woodchuck)
Lineage: Eukaryota; Metazoa; Chordata; Mammalia; Rodentia; Sciuridae
Exons: 2
Source: RefSeq, a predicted model, not a curated record